Molecule: ribosomal RNA, 497 nt
Filed under: uncultured bacterium
Lineage: Bacteria
Description: partial 16S ribosomal RNA
Rfam family: Bacterial small subunit ribosomal RNA
Source: RNAcentral
GAUGAACGCUGGCGGCGUGCCUAAUACAUGCAAGUCGAGCGAAAGGACGAGGAGCUUGCUCCUUUGACGUUAGCGGCGGACGGGUGAGUAACAAGUGGGUAACCUACCUAUAAGACUGGGAUAACUUCGGGAAACCGGAGCUAAUACCGGAUAAUAUUUCGAACCGCAUGGUUCGAUAGUGAAAGAUGGGUCUGCUAUCACUUAUAGAUGGAUCUGCGCCGUAUUAGCUAGUUGGUAAGGUAACGGCGAACCAAGGCAACGAUACGUAGCCGACCUGAGAGGAUGAUCAGCCACACUGUAACUGAGCCACGGUCCAGACUCCUACGGGAGGCAGCAGUAGGGAAUCUUCCGCAAUGGGCGAAAGCCUGACGGAGCAACGCCGCGUGAGUGAUGAAGUUCUUCGGAUCGUAAAACUCUGUUAUUAUGGAAGAACAAACAUGUAAGUAACUGUGCACUUCUUGACGGUACCUAAUCAGAAAGCCACGGCUAACUACGUG